UACGUAGGCAGCAAGCGUUGUUCGGAAUUACUGGGCGUAAAGAGUGUGUAGGCGGUGCUCUAAGUCUGUUGUGAAAUCUCCCGGCUUAACUGGGAGGGUGCGGGGGAAACUGGAGUGCUCGAGGGUGGGAGAGGUAAGCGGAAUUCCUGGUGUAGCGGUGAAAUGCGUAGAUAUCAGGAGGAACACCUGUGGUGUAGACAGCUUACUGGACCACUUCUGACGCUGAGACACGAAAGCGUGGGUAGCAAACAGG
RNAcentral lists this ribosomal RNA (253 nucleotides) under uncultured bacterium. RNAcentral's name for it is "partial 16S ribosomal RNA". It matches the Rfam family "Bacterial small subunit ribosomal RNA", at positions 524 to 776 of the family's 1533-position model. The record is from RNAcentral.